AUUGAACGCUGGCGGCAGGCCUAACACAUGCAAGUCGGACGGUAGCACAGGGGAGCUUGCUCCUCGGGUGACGAGUGGCGGACGGGUGAGUAAUGUCUGGGGAUCUGCCCGAUAGAGGGGGAUAACCACUGGAAACGGUGGCUAAUACCGCAUAACGUCGCAAGACCAAAGAGGGGGACCUUCGGGCCUCUCACUAUCGGAUGAACCCAGAUGGGAUUAGAUAGUAGGCGGGGUAACGGCCCACCUAGGCGACGAUCCCUAGCUGGGCGGAGAGGAUGACAGGGCACACUGGAACUGAGACACGGUCGAGACUCCUACGGGAGGCAGCAGUGGGGAAUAUUGAACAAUGGGCGAAAGCCUGAUGCAGCCAUGCCGCGUGUAUGAAGAAGGCCUUCGGGUUGUAAAGUACUUUCAGCGGGGAGGAAGGCGAUGUGGUUAAUAACCGCGUCGAUUGACGUUACCCGCAGAAGAAGCACCGGCUAACUCCGUGCCAGCCGCCGCCGUAA
This 506-nucleotide ribosomal RNA is filed under the name uncultured bacterium. Its description in RNAcentral is "partial 16S ribosomal RNA". It matches the Rfam family "Bacterial small subunit ribosomal RNA", at positions 29 to 523 of the family's 1533-position model. The record is from RNAcentral.